This 3772-nucleotide long non-coding RNA is filed under the name Sus scrofa (pig). RNAcentral's name for it is "lncRNA (ENSSSCG00045013423.1)". The record is from RNAcentral. Lineage: Eukaryota; Metazoa; Chordata; Mammalia; Artiodactyla; Suidae.
AUGACAACUGUUAAUGACAAUAUGGAGGCCCAGAAUGAGGAACCUCAGCUGUCUAAACCCUCGGAUUCCAAAACCAUGGUUGUUACUACCUCAGCUUUCCAGUUCUUAGUGCCCGAGACGUUGCCUACUGAGGAAGUACCUGAGGAGAACCAGACUUUGGACCCUCUGUCAACAUACCCUUGGUCCGAAGGAGAGAAUGAAGACACAUUGGAGACCCUAGACAAAGACGAGCAGAAAGACGAAACCCCCCAUGACCGACCAUACUGGACCAAUAAAACUGAGUACUUCCUGGCCCAGUCAGAUGAAGUGACUCGAGUUUAUCCAUCAUGGGCUAAAGUCUUGCUUACAGUCCUCAUCCUGGUCACCAUCCUGCCUGUCCCUGCUUACUUCUUCCACACCAUCGUCAGGCGGCUGGCUUCUGCCACCGUGAUCCACAGUAUGACCACGGUAGUCUUCAAACCCGAAGCCAAAGGAGGUUCACCAAAGGGCCUUCCACGGCUUCAAGUGAGGCAAAGCCUGAAGAAGAUGAAUAAAAUGGAUAAAUAACCAGGGUAAAAACUUUCUACCAUGUGAGUAUUUCCUCUUGGAAAUAAAAGACUUGGUUCUUUUGGCACAACAGUUCUUUAUCAAAGCGGAAACUCCCUGGCUGGCAACGUGACAUUGGAAGAGGUAAACGUAGCAACUGCUAAAGUAACUGGACACAGAGAGCUUUUGUUUUCCUGGACUGGGGAAGUUUUUCUGGCCUGAUAGAGAUGAACAUAGCAGCCAUCCCCUACAUGUCCCACCCUUCCCCCACCAAACAUGCAGUAAUGCUGCUUGACUUCCAGUAUUUGGUUACUGGCGGCUGCUGAUCCUUCUUCUCCCAGGCUACCUUCCCCUGGGACUCGGUCUGUGCAAGAUCUGGUCCCUGUGAAACUAAAGCAAAAGCGGUGCUGGUAAAUGAAUCUUGGCUUUUGUCAUAAAAAGAAUGUCUAAUCCCCCGUCUUCCCUUCCAUUGACUAUCAAAUUCAAAGGCUAAAGUCCCGGGUCUUCUUCGCCUGGCUUCCUGUAAGUAGACUGGACCAGAUAGAGUGGAAUCACUGAUUAUGGCAAAGUGGUUAACGCUGCUGGUUGGUGCAGAUAGUUAACCACUAACUGAUAACUGUCUCCUAAAUAUCUGUUAAAUACUUGGAAUGGUCGAUUGCUUUCCUCUGUACACCAGGGAGCUUAAAACUUUACACAACAUCAUAUUUUCUACUAAGGUGGUCUGGGAGUUUGGAGGAAGGGUAUUUGGCAGAGAAUAAGGAAGAGAGUAGAAGUUGACUGCAGAGAAUGAAGAAGACCUAGGGAGAGGACUUUAUUUGGGGCAAUGUGAAAAUCAGUAAGACAAAACACACCAUAUUACAAGACUCUUAAAAUGCACAAUCCCCUUCAAAUGCAUAGAUGAGCUUAGAAGAAAUUAAAUCUUUAAAAGGCCAAAAAUUAAUCUUAAACUUGAAUUAAGAUAGUUAAGCAAGUGUAAAAGCUAGUAAUCCCUUUAGGAGAAUUGCCACUCUGAUGACUUACGGAUUUUGGUUUUAAAGGCUAGGUGAAGACAAAGUCUUCAGUCGGAUUUUUUUUUUUUAAGGAAACUCUUUUACAUAUAAAGCUAAAGGACUGGGCUGUACACUCCAUGAAAGAGUUAGAUAGCAGUAAAAUGUGUAUGUCUUAUUCCUGUCUUUGAUAAGAGGGAAAUAGUGUCUUUUUUGAGAAUUUUCAACUCUUGCAUGGGAUUUUGGUUCAAAUUCACACAACUUGCAUAGUCUGAAAAAUCCAAGUAAGUAUUAACAUAGGAGUGCCCUGGCGGCUCAGUGAGUAAAGGAUCCAGCACUGUUACAGCUGUGGCUCAGGUCAUUGCUGGGGCGAGGGUUGGAUCCCUGGUCUAGGAACUUCCCUAUGCCUUGAGUGUGGCCAAAAAAAAUUACUAUAAAAAGUGCCUGGUGGAUAGCACCUUGCCCCCGCACCUGUAUGUAUAGAUAAUGUCUGGGGGAAACACCACCUCUACCAUGCUUCCUGGGAUUCCCACCAAUAAACUAUCAAUGAACAUGAGGUCACAAAAAGAAAUCACAAAACAUGCAAAGAAACAAGGCACUCUAAAGGGAGGAUUAGCAGAAUUAGACCUGCAAAGACCUUAUAUAUCAGAAUUAUCAUGAUAUAUUAGUAUAAUAUAAAGUAAAUAUGCAUAAUGUAUUUAAAGACAAAAAGAGGAAGUUAAAAUUAAGAGCAAGAAACAAGAGAUUCUCAGAAAUGAUCAGGUAUUUGAAAAAGAACGCAGAAGGACUUUUAUCGAAUCCGAGCUGCAGUUUGAACCUAUACUGCAGCUGUGGCAACGCUGGAUCCUUAACCCUGUGCUGGGCUGGAGAUCAAACACUAGCUGCCGAAAAGACAGUGCUGGAUCCUUAGCCUGCUCUACCACAGUGGGAACUCCCCAAACAGAACUUUUAGACAUGAAAAAAAAUUAAGGAGUUCCCUUGUGUCUCAGCGGUAACAAACCUGACUAAUAUCCCUGAGGAUAUGUGUUCGAUCCCUGGUCUCGCUCGGUGGGUUGAGGAUCCAGCAUUGCCAGGAGCUGUGGUGUAGGUUGCAGACGCAGCUCGGGUCUGGCCUUGCUAUGGCUGUGGCAUAGGCCAGCAGCUGAAGCUCCGAUUCAACCCCUAGCCUGGGAACUUCCAUAUGCCAUGUGUGCAGCCCUAAAAAGACAAAAAAAAAAAAAAAAAAAAAAGAAAUGAAAGAAAAAAACCUUAAAAACAUCAGUGAAUGCAGAGUGGUUUAGCAGGUUAAGGAUCCAGCCUAGUCACUGCUAUAGCUCUGGUCACAGCUGUGGCCUGGGUUCAGUCCCUAGCUCAGGAACUUCUGCAGGAGAAGCCAAAAAAUAAAGAGAGAUGGAGAAUGGUGGGAGAAAGUCCAACAUAUAUCUAAUGGGAAUUCCAGAAAAAGAUCAUUGGAAGAAUAGGGGAGAGGCAAUACACAAAGACAGAAAGCCAAACAUAUUGCAAAAUCAAGGAAAGACACAAAUCCUUGGGCUGAGGAAACACAACAGAUACAAAGGAGGAUAGAUAUGAGGAAAGUGCAAUACACCAAAAAUAGCUAUAAAGAGCAAGCAGGCAGAAAAGACAUGAAGUGUCACCAAAAACAAUAGUUUAUAUUAGGAGUAGAAAAGAAUUUUAGGAGUUCCCGUCGUGGCGCAGUGGUUAACGAAUCCGACUAGGAACCAUGAGGUUGCUGGUUCGGUCCCUGCCCUUGCUCAGUGGGUUAACGAUCUGGCGUUGCCAUGAGCUGUGGUGUAGGUUGCAGACGCGGCUCGGAUCCCGCGUUGCUGUGGCUCUGGCGUAGGCCGGUGGCUACAGCUCCGAUUCAACCCCUAGCCUGGGAACCUCCAUAUGCUGCAGGAGCGGCCCAAGAAAUAGCAACAACAACAAAAAGACAAAAGACAAAAAAAAAAAAGAAUUUUAUUUGAGCCCUACUGAAAACUAAAGCCUGGGAGACAUAGAUUCAAGGAGUGCUUGAAUUGUGUUCUGCUAGACUACAAAAUGGGGCAGGCUUAUAAAGGGAAAAACUGCCAAAUUACAUAAGUUGCUUGUCAAGAAUUAUAAUUGGAGGUUUUGUGAAGUAAGGGUGCUAAUUAAGCAAGGAUUGACUGGGGUCUGAAAUGGUUGCAGAGUUACAAAAGGAGACCUUGAGAUCAUAGGUUGCAGCUGGCAGCUGCUAGCAGAUACUGUUUUUUCAAAUUAUCAUUAAUUUUUUUUGCCACACC